This 1343-nucleotide ribosomal RNA is filed under the name uncultured bacterium. RNAcentral's name for it is "16S ribosomal RNA". It matches the Rfam family "Bacterial small subunit ribosomal RNA", at positions 28 to 1378 of the family's 1533-position model. The record is from RNAcentral.
GACGAACGCUUGCGGCGUGCUUAACACAUGCAAGUCGAACGGAAAGGCCCUGCUUUUGUGGGGUGCUCGAGUGGCGAACGGGUGAGUAACACGUGAGUAACCUGCCCUUGACUUUGGGAUAACUUCAGGAAACUGGGGCUAAUACCGGAUAGGAGCUCCUGCUGCAUGGUGGGGGUUGGAAAGUUUCGGCGGUUGGGGAUGGACUCGCGGCUUAUCAGCUUGUUGGUGGGGUAGUGGCUUACCAAGGCUUUGACGGGUAGCCGGCCUGAGAGGGUGACCGGCCACAUUGGGACUGAGAUACGGCCCAGACUCCUACGGGAGGCAGCAGUGGGGAAUAUUGCACAAUGGGCGGAAGCCUGAUGCAGCAACGCCGCGUGCGGGAUGACGGCCUUCGGGUUGUAAACCGCUUUCGCCUGUGACGAAGCGUGAGUGACGGUAAUGGGUAAAGAAGCACCGGCUAACUACGUGCCAGCAGCCGCGGUGAUACGUAGGGUGCGAGCGUUGUCCGGAUUUAUUGGGCGUAAAGGGCUCGUAGGUGGUUGAUCGCGUCGGAAGUGUAAUCUUGGGGCUUAACCCUGAGCGUGCUUUCGAUACGGGUUGACUUGAGGAAGGUAGGGGAGAAUGGAAUUCCUGGUGGAGCGGUGGAAUGCGCAGAUAUCAGGAGGAACACCAGUGGCGAAGGCGGUUCUCUGGGCCUUUCCUGACGCUGAGGAGCGAAAGCGUGGGGAGCGAACAGGCUUAGACACCCUGGUAGUCCACGCUGUAAACGGUGGGUACUAGGUGUGGGGUCCAUUCCACGGGUUCCGUGCCGUAGCUAACGCUUUAAGUACCCCGCCUGGGGAGUACGGCCGCAAGGCUAAAACUCAAAGGAAUUGACGGGGCCCCGCACAAGCGGCGGAGCAUGCGGAUUAAUUCGAUGCAACGCGUAGAACCUUACCUGGGUUUGACAUGGAUCGGGAGUGCUCAGAGAUGGGUGUGCCUCUUUUGGGGUCGGUUCACAGGUGGUGCAUGCCUGUCGUCAGCUCGUGUCGUGAGAUGUUGGGUUAAGUCCCGCAACGAGCGCAACCCUUGUUCACUGUUGCCAGCACGUUAUGGUGGGGACUCAGUGGAGACCGCCGGGGUCAACUCGGAGGAAGGUGGGGAUGACGUCAAGUCAUCAUGCCCCUUAUGUCCAGGGCUUCACGCAUGCUACAAUGGCUGGUACAGAGAGUGGCGAGCCUGUGAGGGUGAGCGAAUCUCGGAAAGCCGGUCUCAGUUCGGAUUGGGGUCUGCAACUCGACCUCAUGAAGUCGGAGUCGCUAGUAAUCGCAGAUCAGCAACGCUGCGGUGAAUACGUUCCCGGG